Molecule: ribosomal RNA, 468 nt
Filed under: uncultured bacterium
Lineage: Bacteria
Description: partial 16S ribosomal RNA
Rfam family: Bacterial small subunit ribosomal RNA
Source: RNAcentral
GACGAACGCUGGCGGCGUGCUUAACACAUGCAAGUCGAACGGAAAGGCCCUGCUUUUGUGGGGUGCUCGAGUGGCGAACGGGUGAGUAACACGUGAGUAACCUGCCCUUGACUUUGGGAUAACUUCAGGAAACUGGGGCUAAUACAGGAUAGGAGCUCCUGCUGCAUGGUGGGGGUUGGAAAGUUUCGGCGGUUGGGGAUGGAUUCGCGGCUUAUCAGCUUGUUGGUGGGGUAGUGGCUUACCAAGGCUUUGACGGGUAGCCGGCCUGGGAGGGUGACCGGCCACAUUGGGACUGAGAUACGGCCCAGACUCCUACGGGAGGCAGCAGUGGGGAAUAUUGCACAAUGGGCGGAAGCCUGAUGCAGCAACGCCGCGUGCGGGAUGACGGCCUUCGGGUUGUAAACCGCUUUCGCCUGUGACGAAGCGUGAGUGACGGUAAUGGGUAAAGAAGCACCGGCUAACUACGUG